This 253-nucleotide ribosomal RNA is filed under the name uncultured bacterium. RNAcentral's name for it is "partial 16S ribosomal RNA". It matches the Rfam family "Bacterial small subunit ribosomal RNA", at positions 524 to 776 of the family's 1533-position model. The record is from RNAcentral.
UACGGGGGGGGCAAGCGUUGUUCGGAAUUACUGGGCGUAAAGGGCGCGUAGGCGGAUAGUUUAGUCAGAGGUAAAAGCCCAGGGCUCAACCUUGGAACUGCCUUUGAUACUGGCUAUCUUGAGUACGGGAGAGGUGUGUGGAACUCCGAGUGUAGAGGUGAAAUUCGUAGAUAUUCGGAAGAACACCAGUGGCGAAGGCGACACACUGGCCCGUUACUGACGCUGAGGCGCGAAAGCGUGGGGAGCAAACAGG